AACUCCUCUGGAAGUUUUUCCAAGAGUUCAUCCAGGAGUUUUUCCGGAAGUUCCUCCAGAGGUUCGUCCAAGAGUUCCUCCAGAAGUUCGUCCAGGAGUUUUUUGGAGGUUUCUUUCAGAAAGAAAUUUCUUCAGAAGUUCCUUCAGGAGUCCCUCCGGAAGUUUUUCCAGGAAUUUCUCCGGUAGUUCUUCCGGGAAUUCGUCCGAAAGUUCCUCCAGAGCUCAUCCUGGAGUUUCUCCGGAAGUUCCUCCAGAGGUUCGUCCAAGAGUUCCUCCAGAAGUUCGUCCAGGAGUACUUUUGGAGGUUUCUCCAGAAAUUUCUUCAGAAGUUCCUUCAGGAGUCCCUCCGGAAGUUCUUCUAGGAAUUUCUGCGGUAGUUCUUCCAGGAAUUCCUCCGGAAGUUUCUCUAGGAUUUCCACCUGGAAUUCGAUCCGAAGUUCCUCAGAGAUUUCUCCGGAAGUUCCUCCAUGAAUUCGUCCGGAAGUUCAUCAAGGAAUUUCUCUGGAAGCGCCUCCAGGAAUUCUUCCGGUAAUUUCUUAAAAAAAAUUCAUGAAUGCUUUAGGAUGUUUGCUCAAGAAAUCCCCGAGAAGUUCUGUAACUUCUUAAAUAAUUACUCAUAGAAUUUCUCCUAAAAUUUUCUCUGGAGUUCCUCAAAAACUCCUCCAAGAACACUUCAUAAAUUACUUCACGAACACCACAUAAAUUACCACGAGGGCACUUCAAAUAUUUCUUCUGAAAUUAAAAAAAAACUUCCAGGAACUCUUGAAGAACAUCCUAUGGAAAUUAGAUUGCGAAAUCUAGAUCUAAAAAAUCUUACGCUCAUUCAUCUGGGAAUUCUUCCAGAAAUUUCUACCCCAAAAUUCCUCCAGGGAUUCUCCCGGAGAGUGGUUCACAAAUAAAAUUAAUUCUCCGGAAAUUUGUUUAGAAAUUCUACCAAAAAAAUUCCAAGAACUCCUUCACAACUUUCAAGGAUUUCCCAGGCAAUUCCCACGGAAACUUCUCCAUGAUUUCUCCAUGAAUUCGCCCAGAAACCUUAAAGGAUUUUUCUGGGAAAUUCGCUUGAAAACUCCUCCCAAAUACCAUAAGGAGAGUACUCCAAAAAUUCUCCCGCUUUUUCUUUACACUCUAAUUUUAGUAAAAAAAAAUGUAACAAUAUUCAAAAGAACUACAAAGUAGGCACUGAACCCUUAAUAUAAGGGUGGGUGGUAAAAGGCUGCAUCUGAAAAGGAAAUAUCAUUCAAUUGGGCUUAGAUUAGUUACACUGGAUAACAAAGUAAAUUACAAUAUUGGUAAGCAAAACAUAUUCUGGACCUGUGAGCUACAAGAGCGUAAAGCCAAUUAAUGCACAGGUUCGAAACGCGCCUUUCGUUGCACAACUCGCUCAUUGUUAACGGAGGAGUUUUUAGCCUAUGCAAUAAAAAACAUCUUAUCCUCUUUGUGUAAAGCCACAACAAUUAGAAGGACCAACUACAUUGUAAAUCAUUGUUCCGUGAACAAAGCAUAUGUAGUAUUCUAAUCAUCAAGCAAUGGGGUGAAGAGCUACUUUAACAGCAAAUGUUAUUAUUGUGUUGUGUUGUUUGAGAUCUUAUAACAACACAGUGGGCUGGAAUUUUCUUUCUUACCAAGCAACUGCUAUCCAGUUUUAAAUAUAUUUACUUUACCACUUUUUAAAAUAUAAACAAAAAAUCAUGUACAGGUAAAAAUAUUCAUUCUUCAUACAUUCGUAUAUUAUAAUAAUAUAAACAAAAACGAAACAUUAAUCAAUGAAAAUUCAUAAAGAACAAUAAGACGGAUAAUAAUGGCCAAAAAUACGCACUGAAUGACAUAAAUUAAACAAGGAGGACAAUAAACUCAAUCAAAUGGUCUAGCCAAUUAUUUUUAAUACUUUUAAAUUUGAAGCAUUCGAUUUAAACCUAUCUGCCUACAUUCAGUUCGACGCCAUUGUAAAGUUUUGCCAUACUUUGUUAUGGCGUGGUAAACAUACAUCUUAUAUCGAACUAUGUCCAAAAACAAAGUAAAAUCUGCCUCUGUAUUUUAUGAAAAAAAAAACUCACUUCAUGUGGAUUUUAUAAUUCUGAUUUGCCCACAAAAUAUUCCGUAAUCAUACAAAAAUUAAAUUAAUAUGAAAUAACUCUAUAAGAAAAAAGAUUUCAAAGCUUUUACCGCUAAUACGAUAAUCGUGGAAAACGUUGAAAUAAAGUGGAAAUUAUCGAGCUUGAUUUACUGGCAAAAGUCUUAAAACAAAAUAGAAUGUCGAAAAAAAAAACAAAUGUUAAAACAACCCAGUUGGAUCAUAACGUUGCAAAUGUUUAUAUAACACAUAUUACUGAAAUUGAGGAAAAUGUGCCUAGCCUGUUCGAAUUGGAAACACGGAAGAGAAAAUACCUAUUUAUUAUAUCGUUUACUAGGUAACCGAUACAUGAAGAAACCAAAUUGAAAUUCUAAAAGUCAAAAGACUUGAAUUUGAAUGACGCAAAAAAAAAGACAAAAAUGCAAGUAAUCUCAACUAGAACCAAACAAUAAUUGAGAGAAGAAGUACGACAGAUUAAAAAGUCUAAUAAAGAGGAAAUUGUUAAAUUCGUUUGGGAGGGUUUUUUUUUAAAUAAUAAGUGUGGAUGUUUUCGAAUGCAGAUCAGUUUUUGUAAACAUAAAACAGGGGAAAAUAUUCAGCACAUCAUUGGAUGUAUUUCUUUUAAAUUUAUUCAGCCAUAUCAUGAAAAACAGCAAGCGAUCGCCCAACAAAUGUUUCUUUCAUCUUUUUUUAUAUUUUUCAUGCUUUCAUGUAACAACAAAUUUUAUUAAAAAGAUUUGAUGAAAUACGGAUAAUGGCUAAAAAAAAUUUACUACAAUUCACACCUACCAACGAUCGCAAUAUUCUGAGGAAUCGAAUAAUAUUUUUCAUGAAGUGGCUGAGUUGUCAAUCGUGUUUUUGUUAGUUCGACUGCUUAUGUUCUAUUAGAAUCAUAAUUGUUGUACAGACAUUAGCAGACAAAACCUCAGAAUUCAAUAUGGUCGAUUUUUUUAUGCUGAUAUCUUUAAUUAUUCAUUAAAUAUAAAUAUAUUUAUAUUUUUGCAUUACA
Long non-coding RNA from Armigeres subalbatus, 3080 nucleotides. RefSeq lists it as uncharacterized. The record is from RefSeq and is a predicted model, not a curated record. The transcript has 2 exons. NCBI's taxonomy places the organism in Eukaryota, Metazoa, Arthropoda, Insecta, Diptera, Culicidae.